This 656-nucleotide ribosomal RNA is filed under the name Papiliomyces longiclavatus. RNAcentral describes it as "Papiliomyces sp. YZ-2021a partial large subunit ribosomal RNA". It matches the Rfam family "Eukaryotic large subunit ribosomal RNA", at positions 223 to 906 of the family's 3401-position model. The record is from RNAcentral. Lineage: Eukaryota; Fungi; Ascomycota; Sordariomycetes; Hypocreales; Clavicipitaceae.
GUCUGGUUGGAUACCGAGCCUCUGUAAAGCUCCUUCGACGAGUCGAGUAGUUUGGGAAUGCUGCUCUAAAUGGGAGGUAUAUGUCUUCUAAAGCUAAAUAUUGGCCAGAGACCGAUAGCGCACAAGUAGAGUGAUCGAAAGAUGAAAAGCACUUUGAAAAGAGGGUUAAAUAGUACGUGAAAUUGUUGAAAGGGAAGCGCUCAUGACCAGACUUGGGCCCGGUGAAUCAUCCAGCGUUCUCGCUGGUGCACUUUGCCGGGCUCAGGCCAGCAUCAGUUUGCUCCGGGGGAUAAAGGCUUUGGGAAUGUGGCUCCUCCGGGAGUGUUAUAGCCCUUUGCAUAAUACCCUGGGGCGGACUGAGGUUCGCGCAUCUGCAAGGAUGCUGGCGUAAUGGUCAUCAGCGACCCGUCUUGAAACACGGACCAAGGAGUCGUCUUCGUAUGCGAGUGUUCGGGUGUAAAACCCCUACGCGUAAUGAAAGUGAACGCAGGUGAGAGCUUCGGCGCAUCAUCGACCGAUCCUGAUGUUCUCGGAUGGAUUUGAGUAAGAGCAUACGGGGCCGGACCCGAAAGAAGGUGAACUAUGCCUGUAUAGGGUGAAGCCAGAGGAAACUCUGGUGGAGGCUCGCAGCGGUUCUGACGUGCAAAUCGAUCGUC